Non-coding RNA from Caenorhabditis remanei, 81 nucleotides. The record is from Rfam. NCBI's taxonomy places the organism in Eukaryota, Metazoa, Nematoda, Chromadorea, Rhabditida, Rhabditidae.
UCGACACGUUUGGACUUCCGUCUCUUUCCCAGCUGAUAUUGGAUAGCAUGCUGGCAAGAAAUGGCAGUCCAGAUGUGUACA